UUAAUGCUUGCGCAUCUCUAUGCAUGAUCAUCUCUAUCAUAUAAUGGUAAUGAAAUGGCAGAGUCCAUGUUAAUCUUUGAUAGAAAACCAUGAUAAGAGAGAGAGAGAGUUGAAGAGCUAGUGUUUGAUAAGGAGCAUAGUCCACCUUGAAAGGGUAAAAAGCCCUUGCAAGAUUCUCCUCGAGUGCUUGUGUCGAUGAUACCUCGUGAUGAAUCUCAUCAAAUGGUGUCUACUUUAGGACUAGAAUGGACUUGGUGCUAUGAUAAGAUGGCAUUUAAUUCCCCAUUAAUUAGAGCACAACCAAUCGACCAUCAAAAUGGGGAUAACCUUGAGGAGUUCAUGCAAGCAGAUUACCGAAGAUAGCACUCGACACAAGUUUACGGGAGAAGCUUCAACGGAGAGCAUCGCCAUGAUGAAGACGACUCUUUUCCUGCCAUGUCGAUCUCCUCUCACCGUAAACCAAUCCCAAGGCAAUAAAUGCGACAGAAUUAAGUGCUAACCCAGUCGUAAUGGUGCAUGUGACGUGCUGCCUCCUCAAGAUCUUAAUGACCAUAAUCCAGCUUACAAACACAUCAACCAAGGAACAUAUUCUAAGCCUUUAUCUUCCAUGAUCUGGUACAUAUAUGCAUGGAUAGGUUUGACUUAUUAUGAGUGCAUAUCGACAUUGAGGCAUAUGGACGUACGGUGGUUGUUGGAGGAGGGUGAUGGCAUGCAGACCCAUGCAAAUUAUAAGGUGGCUGGGAAUAUUAUCUCAGGAGAUGUACUGACACGCUGCAUGUGAGUGCACACGUCUCCUUUCUCGGGGAUCCUAUGCCUUGAGAUACUCUCCUCAGGUCGAUCGGCUCCUGGGUCACGAUUCCAGAUCUCCUGUGGUUAUAGAGUUCUGGUUUCCCAUUUGUGUGGUAUGAACUGGGGGAGUUGUGAGUUCAGUCAGAUUGGCCGUCGGGUAGAACUGAAAUCAAUGACCCUUCUGAUCAUCACUUCUAAAAUCAUCCUCAUAUCUUGAUUAAUUGAUAAACAUGUAUAUAUUUUUCUGAUGUAGGAGGAGUUUUUUUCCUCUUAAUUUUUAAUCGAUGUCAUUCCAUCUAAGACAUGUUUUGAUUUAUGCCUUUCACACUCUCUCACGAUGGUAGAUGACUCAACCCGUCACAUAAUAUAUAUUUUUUAUUUAUAUAUAAAGUCCAAUUCUUUUUUUCUUCUUAUUACUGUAUGGAUUCACCAAUUAUGGAAAAUACAGUUAAUUUUUCUCCGGGGUGAUAGGUAAAAUUGACACCGUCAUCCUUCUUCACAUGUUUCAUCGAAGACACAGCGAGGUGCACUGCACUGCAGCUUCCUCCUAUUUCUACGGUGAAUAACUCCAAUAGCCGCAUUUGUCACACAGGCAGAAUGACACACGAGAUCCGGCCACAAAGCCUGUUCCGUUCUCUCCCUUCAUACAUAUAUUAUUGGCCUGCAGUCCUCUCCCUGACCUAUUCUUUUAAUGAGACAAAAUCUUGGAGAGACCGAGAGAAAGAGGGGCGAUGUUAUCCACUUCAAUCCUUCAUGUCUUCCUUCUUCAUGUGCACCGCAGACCGGCGGCAGGCGAACCCGGCGCUUUUAGAUUGCCGGGGACGACGACAGCCACGUGGCUGCAUCCGCUUGCUUUACGGGUACUACAACGUGCUUUAGAACUCGGCUCGGCUCGGCUCGGCUAAGCUGCAGCUCAAUGAACCCUCAAACAGGUAUUUGUGGACCUAUCAUCUCCUGAUUAUAAAAUCCAGUUAAUUGGAUCUUAAAAAUCGAAUAACACUUUCGAUUGGUUUGGUUCGCUAAUUAGAUCAUCUAAAUCUUAAAUCGAUUAAAAUACCAUCAACCUUUUUAUUUAUCAUCAAAGAUAUUUGAAUAUUUUAAAGAAUAUUCAUGUGUUCUUAUUAUAUUUAUUAUUUUCUCAUUGUCUA
This 1937-nucleotide long non-coding RNA is filed under the name Musa acuminata (dwarf banana). RNAcentral describes it as "long non-coding RNA (MACU_LNC000974)". Lineage: Eukaryota; Viridiplantae; Streptophyta; Magnoliopsida; Zingiberales; Musaceae. The record is from RNAcentral.